Molecule: ribosomal RNA, 433 nt
Filed under: uncultured bacterium
Lineage: Bacteria
Description: partial 16S ribosomal RNA
Rfam family: Bacterial small subunit ribosomal RNA
Source: RNAcentral
AACGAACGCUGGCGGCAUGCCUAACACAUGCAAGUCGAACGAGACCUUCGGGUCUAGUGGCGCACGGGUGCGUAACGCGUGGGAACCUGCCCUUAGGUUCGGAAUAACUCCCCGAAAGGGGUGCUAAUACCGGAUAAUGUCUUCGGACCAAAGAUUUAUCGCCUUUGUAUGGGUCCGCGUUGGAUUAGCUAGUUGGUAGGGUAAAAGCCUACCAAGGCGACGAUCCAUAGCUGGUCUGAGAGGAUGAUCAGCCACACUGGGACUGAGACACGGCCCAGACUCCUACGGGAGGCAGCAGUGGGGAAUAUUGGACAAUGGGCGAAAGCCUGAUCCAGCAAUGCCGCGUGAGUGAUGAAGGCCUUAGGGUUGUAAAGCUCUUUUACCCGGGAUGAUAAUGACAGUACCGGGAGAAUAAGCUCCGGCUAACUCCGUG